Acanthosepion pharaonis is the source of this 104-nucleotide non-coding RNA. The record is from the annotation of a GenBank genome assembly. Lineage: Eukaryota; Metazoa; Mollusca; Cephalopoda; Sepiida; Sepiidae.
UAUGGCCACAUCACGAUGAAACAACGGUUCCCGUUUGAUCAGCGAAGUUAAGCAAUGUCGAACCGGGUUAGUACCUAGAUGGGUGACUGCUUGGGAAUACCGAG